RNAcentral lists this long non-coding RNA (1331 nucleotides) under Cyanistes caeruleus (blue tit). RNAcentral's name for it is "lncRNA (ENSCCEG00000015389.1)". The record is from RNAcentral. Lineage: Eukaryota; Metazoa; Chordata; Aves; Passeriformes; Paridae.
GUUCAAAACAGCCAUUGCCUUCUAUCCUGCUCAAAACCCGAUACGGACAUCAGACUGGAUACAACCACCUUUGCUGCACUCCUGAAAAAUGAAGAAUAACAGAAACCUACAAUAGACUCUAUUAAUGCUGCAACAGUUUUCCAAGGCUUUAUGAAACAAGCUGUUAGGUACCAUAACCAAUUUACUAAAUCCAAAUGGUAACCUGUAAGUUUUCAUACUGAGAAUAUGAGCUCAUAUUACUCAGUGAAACAGGACAGUGAAAUUACACACUGUUCCUACUAUAAAAACAAAGAGAAUCAACAGACAAUGGUGAUGGUUCCUCUUCUCUGUCACCAGCAAAGACCUUCUGCUGGCAGCAGUCCAGGCCAAGUGUCCUGGUUGCUAGCAAGGUCAUAUGGUUAUUACCCUGCUCAUAUGUGUGUGCUCACUUCUGUGUGUCUGUAUGCACACAUGUACCUUCAGACAGCCCAGAAUAUUUUUAGCUGCAUUCAGAAGGAUACGUGCACCCACAAGCUGCAGAGAUCCAAGACCUGGUUAUCAAGCCUCUGCUCUGCCAAGCCACACCAUCAACCUGUGACCUCCAGACAGAGGGAUUUCCAAUUUCAUACUUAAAGAAAACAAGACAUGGACAACCUAAAAUGUUGUGGUUGCAGAGAAGUUCUGCAGCAAAAGAACUUGACUCUUUGGGCUUAUGCGCUCCAUUCUGCUUCCCCAGAUCUACAGGACCAUUUUUCUUAAGGACACAGCAUCUGGAAACUGCAUUUUUGAUGUACUUAUUGUUGCAGAAUGUUUCAUAUUAUAGUAGGCAGAGGGCUUCAUUGUCUUCAAGACACUGAUGCCGAUAUAACUAUUCCAGUUUAAUCAGAUUUAUUUCUGAAUUAUGUCACUUAAACAUCAGCAUAUCACCAGCUUUGACUUAGGAUGUAGUGUAGAUUUGAUUAGGCACCAUCUAAAAGCCUGAGGUUUUUAUAGCUUUUAAUGUAAGACCUUAAAGAUUAUUCUACUUUUCAAGUUUUUAUUUUUUUUUGUAUUUUUCUUUAUGUAAUUAGUCUUCAUAGAAAUGUUUCUUUUAUUAAUUGCUUGGAAGAUGAAAAAACUGUUAUUAUAGCUAGCAAUAGAGGCAGCAAAAAAAAGUGGGACAUGGUCACUUCUUAACUACACAGCAAAAUGUAGAAAAUAAUUGUAAAAGUAGAUCAGACAAAUAGAAGUAUAAACACAUUAUCCAUCUGCAAGAUGGACCUCUCUCUGCUUAUAAAACAUUAUGUAUUUCACAGCAUUGUGAUGUAACUAAAACAUGUAAUUUAUCUGUGAUAAUAAAAACGAAAACUCUG